Molecule: ribosomal RNA, 207 nt
Filed under: uncultured bacterium
Lineage: Bacteria
Description: partial 16S ribosomal RNA
Rfam family: Bacterial small subunit ribosomal RNA
Source: RNAcentral
CGUGUAGGCGGGCCUUCAAGUCGGACGUGAAAUCCCUCGGCUUAACCGGGGAACUGCUUCCGAUACUGUGGGUCUUGAGUCAAUCAGGGGUCGAUGGAACUUCAGGUGGAGCGGUGAAAUGCGUAGAUAUCUGAAGGAACGCCAGUGGCGAAAGCGGUCGACUGGGAUUGUACUGACGCUGAGACGCGAAAGCGUGGGGAGCGAACG